Molecule: ribosomal RNA, 285 nt
Filed under: Triticum aestivum (bread wheat)
Lineage: Eukaryota; Viridiplantae; Streptophyta; Magnoliopsida; Poales; Poaceae
Description: partial small subunit ribosomal RNA
Source: RNAcentral
AUGAUGAACCAUGUCCAGAUCAUGUCGCGCCGCAUGGUCCUACCGGAGCCGACUUCGCUACCGCCGGAGCCGGAGAGGACCAUCGACCUCACGCCGUGGGACCUCUCGAUGGUCGCCUUGGAGUACAACCAGAAGGGCAUCGUCCUGCCCAACCCUCCCGCCACACAAGAAGGAGAAGGACGGGGACACCACGCCGUCGUCGAACGCCUGGCAUCGUCCUUCGCGCGUGCCCUGGGCCGUUUCUACCCCUACGCCGGUCGCCUCGCCGUCACUGUGGGGAGCUAG